GUGUGGUGUCGGGAGGUGAGGCCUAAGGGGAAGCAUUCGUGUCCCGAGAGCUCCACCCUCACGAACAGAAAUGUGUUUGAGCACGCAAUGGACAGGAGCCUCCUCAAUCUCAAGAGCGAAGUCUCCUCCUGGAAUGGUUUAAAGGUCUUCGGCUACAGGGAAUGAAUAAAUAUCCAACCACCAGAUGCAAUACUUCUGGGUAAAGCUCCUGCAGCGAGCUUCGCAGGCUUCCUGGCACAGCGCCCCCCUCGCCGCCGAGCGGCACUGCAGGCAGGGCGCCGGACUCGCCUCCCAUCCGUGCCCUGCGCCUCCCUAGACUUGCACUUCGGGCCACUGUCAGACAGAGUCUCACUAUGUAGCCCAGGCUGGCCUCGAACUCGGCGAUCCUCCUACCUCAGCCUCCCGAAUGCUGGGAUCACAGGCGUGCGCCACCACGUAAACAUCUCUCCUACCGGUCACUGUUUCAAACCCCGUAAGGACCAUGCUGUUUAUCACGUGUAGUAGAAUAAUGACCCUUUCCCGGCGGCCCUUGCUGGAAACCUGGACGCUGUGAAUGAGGACUUUGUAUAAGGCGAGGUGACGGAGCU
Molecule: long non-coding RNA, 587 nt
Filed under: Heterocephalus glaber (naked mole-rat)
Lineage: Eukaryota; Metazoa; Chordata; Mammalia; Rodentia; Bathyergidae
Description: lncRNA (ENSHGLG00000049332.1)
Source: RNAcentral